GUGAGUGCUUGUAGCACCAGGGCACAUCUGCAGCGGAUUUGCUGCUUGUGAGCCUCUCUUGCUCCACGGUGGGGGAAAAUGUGAUUUUCCUACUUUUCUUCUUCCUUUUUUUUUUUUUUUUUUUUCUUAGAGGAAGGCUUUACAGGCUCGGAUUUGGAAGCUUUCCCAGUUUUUGCAAAUAAAACUGCGAGCCUGUCUGUGGAGCGUUGGAAGAGGAAUCUCAGGAACGUGGGAGCUCUCUGCAGAGCUGCUCUGGAGUUUCUCCCGGUGCUGCCUUUAAAUGCUCCUCAGGGCUGCAGCCAGGUCAGGAAUGCGGUGAGCCCUGGGAAGGAGAAGUUUUCUUGGGGCCAGAACGGUGCAAUGCCACUGCUGGGAUAAUCCAUUUCCUCCAGGCUGCUGACUUGAAGAUGUCAAGGAUUUGGGUAAAAAUAGAAAAGAGAAGAAUGACAUCCUGGAUGAG
Molecule: long non-coding RNA, 460 nt
Filed under: Gallus gallus (chicken)
Lineage: Eukaryota; Metazoa; Chordata; Aves; Galliformes; Phasianidae
Description: lncRNA (ENSGALG00010020233.1)
Source: RNAcentral